RNAcentral lists this ribosomal RNA (1351 nucleotides) under Glutamicibacter nicotianae. RNAcentral describes it as "bacterial SSU rRNA". It matches the Rfam family "Bacterial small subunit ribosomal RNA", at positions 70 to 1441 of the family's 1533-position model. Lineage: Bacteria; Bacillati; Actinomycetota; Actinomycetes; Micrococcales; Micrococcaceae. The record is from RNAcentral.
AAGCUAAAGCUUGCUUUGGUGGAUUAGUGGCGAACGGGUGAGUAACACGUGAGUAACCUGCCCCCGACUCUGGGAUAAGCCUGGGAAACUGGGUCUAAUACCGGAUAUGACCUCCUACCGCAUGGUGGUGGUGGAAAGAUUUAUCGGUGGGGGAUGGACUCGCGGCCUAUCAGCUUGUUGGUGAGGUAAUGGCUCACCAAGGCGACGACGGGUAGCCGGCCUGAGAGGGUGACCGGCCACACUGGGACUGAGACCGGCCCAGACUCCUACGGGAGGCAGCAGUGGGGAAUAUUGCACAAUGGGCGAAAGCCUGAUGCAGCGACGCCGCGUGAGGGAUGACGGCCUUCGGGUUGUAAACCUCUUUCAGUAGGGAAGAAGCGAAGUGACGGUACCUGCAGAAGAAGCGCCGGCUAACUACGUGCCAGCAGCCCGCCGGUAAUACGUAGGGCGCAAGCGUUAUCCGGAUUUAUUGGGCGUAAAGAGCUCGUAGGCGGUUGUCGCGUCUGCCUGAAAGUCCGAGGCUCAACCUCGGAUCUGCGGUGGGUACGGGCAGACUAGAGUGAUGUAGGGGAGACUGGAAUUCCUGGUGUAGCGGUGAAAUGCGCAGAUAUCAGGAGGAACACCGAUGGCGAAGGAGGUCUCUGGGCAUUUACUGACGCUGAGGAGCGAAAGCAUGGGGAGCGAACAGGAUUAGAUACCCUGGUAGUCCAUGCCGUAAACGUUGGGCACUAGGUGUGGGGGACAUUCCACGUUUUCCGCGCCUAGCUAACGCAUUAAGUGCCCCGCCUGGGGAGUACGGCCGCAAGGCUAAAACUCAAAGGAAUUGACGGGGGCCCGCACAAGCGGCGGAGCAUGCGGAUUAAUUCGAUGCAACGCGAAGAACCUUACCAGGCUUGACAUGUUCCAGACCGGGCUAGAGAUAGUCCUUCCCUUCGGGGCUGGUUCACAGGUGGUGCAUGGUUGUCGUCAGCUCGUGUCGUGAGAUGUUGGGUUAAGUCCCGCAACGAGCGCAACCCCGUUCCAUGUUGCCAGCACGUAGUGGUGGGGACUCAUGGGAGACUGCCGGGGUCAACUCGGAGGAAGGUGGGGAUGACGUCAAAUCAUCAUGCCCCUUAUGUCUUGGGCUUCACGCAUGCUACAAUGCCGGUACAAUGGGUUGCGAUACUGUGAGGUGGAGCUAAUCCCUAAAAGCCGGUCUCAGUUCGGAUUGGGGUCUGCAACUCGACCCCAUGAAGUCGGAGUCGCUAGUAAUCGCAGAUCAGCAACGCUGGGUGAAUACGUUCCCGGGCCUUGUACACACCGCCCGUCAAGUCACGAAAGUUGGUAACACCCGAAGCCGAUGGCCUAACCA